RNAcentral lists this ribosomal RNA (253 nucleotides) under uncultured bacterium. RNAcentral's name for it is "partial 16S ribosomal RNA". It matches the Rfam family "Bacterial small subunit ribosomal RNA", at positions 524 to 776 of the family's 1533-position model. The record is from RNAcentral.
CACGUAGGGCGCAAGCGUUGUCCGGAAUUAUUGGGCGUAAAGAGCUCGUAGGCGGUCUGUUGCGUCCGCUGUGAAAACUCGGGGCUUAACCCCGAGCCUGCAGUGGAUACGGGCAGACUAGAGGUAGGUAGGGGAGAAUGGAAUUCCCGGUGUAGCGGUGAAAUGCGUAGAUAUCGGAAGGAACACCGGUGGCGAAAGCGGCGCGCUGGACCUCUUCUGACGCUGAGGCGCGAAAGCCAGGGGAGCAAACGGG